This 77-nucleotide transfer RNA is filed under the name Synergistaceae bacterium. Its description in RNAcentral is "tRNA-Arg". It matches the Rfam family "tRNA". Rfam says of the family: Transfer RNA (tRNA) molecules are approximately 80 nucleotides in length. Their secondary structure includes four short double-helical elements and three loops (D, anti-codon, and T loops). The record is from RNAcentral. Lineage: Bacteria; Thermotogati; Synergistota; Synergistia; Synergistales; Synergistaceae.
GUGCCUGUAGCUCAGCUGGAUAGAGUACCAGCCUCCGAAGCUGAAGGUCUCGGGUUCGAAUCCCGACAGGCACGCCA